Molecule: ribosomal RNA, 499 nt
Filed under: Lycodon rufozonatus (red-banded snake)
Lineage: Eukaryota; Metazoa; Chordata; Lepidosauria; Squamata; Colubridae
Description: partial 12S ribosomal RNA
Rfam family: Bacterial small subunit ribosomal RNA
Source: RNAcentral
GCCUAACCAUAACACAACAAUAAAAUCACAUAUUGUUCGCCAAAUAACUACGAGUAAAAACUUAAAAUUUAAAAGACUUGACGGUACCCCACAACAACCUAGAGGAGCCUGUUCAGUAACCGAUACUCCACGAUUAAUCCAACCUUCCCUAGCCUACCAGUCUAUAUACCGCCGUCGCCAGCCUACCUUAUGAAAGAAACAAAGUAAGCCAAACAGCCACACACUAAUACGACAGGUCGAGGUGUAACUCAUGGGGAGGACUAGAAUGGGCUACAUUAUCUAAUUCAGAUAACACGGAUAAACUAUGAAACAAGAAACUAAAGGCGGAUUUAGCAGUACACUAUGAACAAUAAUACCUAGUCGAAAUUAACGCAAUGGGGUGCGUACACACCGCCCGUCAUCCCUGUCAACUUGACCAAAACAUUCAUAAACACAAACACUAAACCUAAAGCAGGGCAAGUCGUAACACGGUAAGCGUACUGGAAAGUGCGCUUAGAAA